AGCGAACGCUGGCGGCAGGCUUAACACAUGCAAGUCGAGCGGGCAUAGCAAUAUGUCAGCGGCAGACGGGUGAGUAACGCGUGGGAACAUACCUUUUGGUUCGGAACAACACAGGGAAACUUGUGCUAAUACCGGAUAAGCCCUUACGGGGAAAGAUUUAUCGCCGAAAGAUCGGCCCGCGUCUGAUUAGCUAGUUGGUGAGGUAAUGGCUCACCAAGGCGACGAUCAGUAGCUGGUCUGAGAGGAUGAUCAGCCACAUUGGGACUGAGACACGGCCCAAACUCCUACGGGAGGCAGCAGUGGGGAAUAUUGGACAAUGGGCGCAAGCCUGAUCCAGCCAUGCCGCGUGAGCGAUGAAGGCCCUAGGGUUGUAAAGCUCUUUUGUGCGGGAAGAUAAUGACGGUACCGCAAGAAUAAGCCCCGGCUAACUUCGUGCCAGCAGCCGCGGUAA
Molecule: ribosomal RNA, 451 nt
Filed under: uncultured bacterium
Lineage: Bacteria
Description: partial 16S ribosomal RNA
Rfam family: Bacterial small subunit ribosomal RNA
Source: RNAcentral